AAUGGAGGAAACUCUGAUGCAGCGACGCCGCGUGAGUGAAGAAGGUCUUCGGAUCGUAAAACUCUGUCCUUGGUGAAGAUAAUGACGGUAGCCAAGGAGGAAGCCCCGGCUAACUACGUGCCAGCAGCCGCGGUAAUACGUAGGGGGCGAGCGUUGUCCGGAUUUACUGGGCGUAAAGGGUGAGUAGGCGGUUAUGUAUGUCAGAUGUAAAAGGCACAGGCUUAACUUGUGUUAGCAUUUGAAACUGCAUAACUUGAGUGCAGGAGAGGUAAGUGGAAUUCCUAGUGUAGCGGUGAAAUGCGUAGAUAUUAGGAGGAACACCAGUGGCGAAGGCGACUUACUGGACUGUAACUGACGCUGAGUCACGAAAGCGUGGGUAGCAAA
RNAcentral lists this ribosomal RNA (384 nucleotides) under uncultured bacterium. RNAcentral's name for it is "bacterial SSU rRNA". It matches the Rfam family "Bacterial small subunit ribosomal RNA", at positions 370 to 772 of the family's 1533-position model. The record is from RNAcentral.